CCAAUAGCGUAUAUUAAAGUUGUUGCAGUUAAAAAGCUCGUAGUUGAAUUUCGGGAUCAGUUGAUCGGUCGUGCCUCGGUACGUACUGGUCAAAUUGAUUCCUACCUUCUGACGAACCACGAUGUCAUUAAUUUGGUGUCGUAGGAAAUCAGGACUGUUACUUUGAAAAAAUUAGAGUGUUUAAAGCAGGCUCGCGCUUGAAUACAUUAGCAUGGAAUAA
RNAcentral lists this ribosomal RNA (220 nucleotides) under uncultured Glomus. RNAcentral describes it as "partial small subunit ribosomal RNA". It matches the Rfam family "Eukaryotic small subunit ribosomal RNA", at positions 591 to 817 of the family's 1831-position model. Lineage: Eukaryota; Fungi; Glomeromycota; Glomeromycetes; Glomerales; Glomeraceae. The record is from RNAcentral.